Cloeon dipterum is the source of this 426-nucleotide long non-coding RNA. RefSeq lists it as uncharacterized. The transcript has 4 exons. Lineage: Eukaryota; Metazoa; Arthropoda; Insecta; Ephemeroptera; Baetidae. The record is from RefSeq and is a predicted model, not a curated record.
GCAAAACACCGUCAUUUGCGUGUUCAACGGAGAUUCCAAACCUCGGACACCUGCUCCACUGACCACUGGUCAGCCGCGAAAAAUGUUUUCCUGGCAUUGACCGAUCCGUCAGUACCCUCAGCCUGAAGAUGCAUGGUGCGCAGACUCCAGCUGCGAGGUUCUCGUGCCGAAAGCAGCGCAGGAAGGAUGGAAGAGGGUGUCACGGUGGUCAGCUGCUCCUUCACCGCCACCGCCACCCCACUCCACCAACGAUCUCGUUUGCAGCCCAGCAAUCGUUGCUUAUUAUUUGGUCAAAGGUUCGUGAACCUCCAUUAGUCUGCAUGGAAAAAAGAGUGAGGGUUCAAACGUCAAGAGAUAUAAAAGUGUGUGAUGAGCGCAAUGAUUAUAUCGAUAAAUUAACCAAUAAAUAAUUAAAUCGAUUUAUGC